Molecule: ribosomal RNA, 658 nt
Filed under: Aaptos suberitoides
Lineage: Eukaryota; Metazoa; Porifera; Demospongiae; Suberitida; Suberitidae
Description: LSU rRNA
Rfam family: Eukaryotic large subunit ribosomal RNA
Source: RNAcentral
AAACACGGACCAAGGAGUGCAACAUGCGUGCGAGUCUUUGGGUAUCAAACCCAGCGGCACAAUGAAAGUGAAGGCAGGCAGUGGUCUGCUUAGGCGAGAGUCUUCUUGGAGACGCAUCGUCGACCGAUCCCAGGUCACGCUGUGGCGGGAUUUGAGUGAGAGCGUGCCUGUUGCGACCCGAAAGAUGGUGAACUAUGCCUGAAUAGGGUGAAGCCAGAGGAAACUCUGGUGGAAGCUCGUAGCGAUUCUGACGUGCAAAUCGAUCGUCAAAUUUGGGUAUAGGGGCGAAAGACUAAUCGAACCAUCUAGUAGCUGGUUCCCUCCGAAGUUUCCCUCAGGAUAGCUGGAGCCCGGUGCAGUUUUAUCAGGUAAAGCGAAUGAUUAGAGGUCUUGGGGUUGAAACAACCUCAACCUAUUCUCAAACUUUAAAUGGGUAAGAAGCUUGGCUUGCUUAAUUGAAGUCGAGCAUUGAAUGCCGGGGCUCUUAGUGGGCCAUUUUUGGUAAGCAGAACUGGCGAUGUGGGAUGAACCAAAUGCUGGGUUAAGGUGCCCGAAUCGACGCUCAUCAGAUACCAUAAAAGGUGUUGGUUGAUCUAGACAGCAGGACGGUGGCCAUGGAAGUCGGAAUCCGCUAAGGAGUGUGUAACAACUCACCUGC